AUACGGAGGGUGCAAGCGUUGUCCGGAUUUAUUGGGUUUAAAGGGUGUGUAGGCGGUGUAUUAAGUCAGUGGUGAAAGCCUGCGGCUCAACCGUAGAACUGCCAUUGAUACUGACACACUUGAGUAUGGACGAGGUAGGCGGAAUUUAUGGAGUAGCGGUGAAAUGCAUAGAUACCAUAAAGAACACCGAUAGCGAAGGCAGCUUACUAGGCCAUAACUGACGCUGAGGCACGAAAGCGUGGGGAGCGAACAGGAUUAGAAACCCCAGUAGUCC
RNAcentral lists this ribosomal RNA (274 nucleotides) under uncultured bacterium. RNAcentral describes it as "partial 16S ribosomal RNA". It matches the Rfam family "Bacterial small subunit ribosomal RNA", at positions 523 to 796 of the family's 1533-position model. The record is from RNAcentral.